Pelobates cultripes (western spadefoot toad) is the source of this 421-nucleotide non-coding RNA. The record is from the annotation of a GenBank genome assembly. NCBI's taxonomy places the organism in Eukaryota, Metazoa, Chordata, Amphibia, Anura, Pelobatidae.
GGGAACACCAAGCAAGAGCCUCACUAUCUCCCAAAUCCACUGCAGGCAACAAUCACACACCGCCUCACUCACGCACUGCUAGAUGCCCACUCAGGCACGUAUAGGCUUCCAACAAUCCUAACACUAAAGCAACACACUAUUUACAGGGCAGCUACUCAAAACUACUACACGCCACAGGGCCCACUCCUCACCAUCCAGUGUCUUCACAGCCCCAAAGAACACCACAGAACCCAAUCAGAUCUUUCCAGUAGGAUCUCCGGCACAAGAUCUAGUAGCUACUAAGAUGCAAAAUGCCCAGCGACACACCUUAACACUAAAGGUACAUAGCAGGUACCAGAGAUACAGCUCACAGUGACCAUCAGGUAAUACUGCACUAAAUAAUAUUUAUUCCUGAUUUACAGCUCCCAUAAUACAACUUGAG